GACGAACGCUGGCGGCGUGCUUAACACAUGCAAGUCGAACGAUGAAACCUAGCUUGCUAGGUCGAUUAGUGGCGAACGGGUGAGUAACACGUGACUAACCUGCCCCUUUCUCUGGGAUAACGCUUCGAAAGGAGUGCUAAUACCGGAUACUCACAUCGAGGCACAUGCCUUGAUGUGGAAAGUUUUUCGGAAAGGGAUGGAGUCGCGGCCUAUCAGCUUGUUGGUGAGGUAACGGCUCACCAAGGCGACGACGGGUAGCCGGCCUGAGAGGGCGACCGGCCACACUGGGCCUGAAGCACGGACCAGACUCCUACGGGAGGCAGCAGUGGAGAAUAUUGCACAAUGGGCGCAAGCCUGAUGCAGCGACGCCGCGUGAGGGAUGAGUGUCUUCGGAUUGUAAACCUCUUUCAGUAGGGACGAAGCGAAAGUGACGGUACCUAAAGAAGAAGCACCGGCUAACUACGUGCCAGCCGCCGCAGUAA
Molecule: ribosomal RNA, 482 nt
Filed under: uncultured bacterium
Lineage: Bacteria
Description: partial 16S ribosomal RNA
Rfam family: Bacterial small subunit ribosomal RNA
Source: RNAcentral